RNAcentral lists this long non-coding RNA (217 nucleotides) under Phoenix dactylifera (date palm). RNAcentral's name for it is "long non-coding RNA (PDAC_LNC010042)". The record is from RNAcentral. Lineage: Eukaryota; Viridiplantae; Streptophyta; Magnoliopsida; Arecales; Arecaceae.
UGCUUUCCUUGAAUAUUAUUUGUGGUACUUCUUGAAUUAACUUAAGAAAGUUUCCACCUACACUUGAUUUGAAAACUAUCUUUGGAACCACAUUCGAUGUGUUCUCAUUAUAAUUGGCUCUGAUCUAUGCUCAUUAAUCUUUUUCUAACAUUAUUGCCUUGAGUUAUAUGAUUCAUAUUCUUGCAAUAAUUUGACAUGCAAAUCAGAGUACAAAAAG